UGGAUGAGUCCUCUAAAGGUCAGGCUGGGAGAGCUUCCUGUAGGUAUCCUCUGGGACACCCUUCAAUGCCAGUGAGGAUGAUGUGACCCCCCCUGGACCAUAGCCAGGAGUGACAUAGCCAGUUUGGCCCCGGAGAAAAUCUGAUAACUUAGUCUUAUGUUGAAGAGCUGGAGAGGCAGGAGGAGCCCAUCAGUUAGGGGGACAGGCAGAGCAAGAAUCCAAGAGAAGCGCUUCACCGUGGUCCAGUUACCUUUGAACAUGAUAUCUGAUAGUGCCGGCUCUGGAUCUUUGAUCUCCUGAGAUAAUGGAAUUUGGCAGCCCUCAGCUAACUACCUUGCUGCUGACCUGGGACCACCUGAGUUAAUAGACCUUGGAUUUUUUUGGCUAAAAAUUUGGGGCUGCUCCAGGAAAUGACUUUGGAUCUCUUUGACAAGACUCUGGGUUAUUUUAGUUAAUUUCUUUGGACCUUUUUGGCUCAAGACAUUGGACCCCCUUGGCUAAUGAACUUGGACCUAUUUGGCCAAGGACCUUGAGCCACUAUAGUUUUUUUUUUUAAACUAAGGGCUUUGGACUACCUGCAUUUGGACCUUGAACUAAGGGCUAAGGGCCUUGGCCCAUCUAGCUAAUGACCUUGGAGUCCCUUGGCUAAGGAUCUGGGCCCACUUCAGUUAAUGACUUCAACUUUCCUUGACACUAAGAACUUUGAGCCAUCUCAACUAAUGACUGGUUGAACCUCUUUGGCUAAAGACUUUGAGUAACCUGGAUUAAUGACUAAGGAUUUUUGGCCACCAUGGCUAAUAUCAUUUUGGAUCUCUUUGGCUAAGGACCUUGGGGCUCUUUGUCUAAGAGCAUUGGUCCACCUCAGCUAAUGACAUUGGACCUUUCGGGUUGAGGACUUUGGGCCAAACAGCCAAUGCUUUGGAUCUCUUUGGUCUUAAGAUCUUUGUGCUACCUCAUAUAUUGAUUUUGGACUUAUUGUGGCUAAGGACCUUGGGUCACCACAGCUAAUGACCUGAGAUCUUCUUGGUCAAGGAUUUUGGACGAUCUCAUCUUGGACCCUGGAUCUCUUUGGCUAAGGACCUCAGGUCACCACAUCUCAUGAACUUGGAUUUCUUGGGUUAAUAUGUUUGGUAUUUUUCACAAAUAAAGACCACCUUGUUUGUAUCA
Molecule: long non-coding RNA, 1167 nt
Organism: Phascolarctos cinereus (koala)
Lineage: Eukaryota; Metazoa; Chordata; Mammalia; Diprotodontia; Phascolarctidae
Source: Ensembl